This 497-nucleotide ribosomal RNA is filed under the name uncultured bacterium. RNAcentral describes it as "partial 16S ribosomal RNA". It matches the Rfam family "Bacterial small subunit ribosomal RNA", at positions 28 to 507 of the family's 1533-position model. The record is from RNAcentral.
GACGAACGCUGGCGGCGUGCCUAAUACAUGCAAGUUGAGCGCUGAAGGUUGGUACUUGUACCAACUGGAUGAGCAGCGAACGGGUGAGUAACGCGUGGGGAAUCUGCCUUUGAGCGGGGGACAACAUUUGGAAACGAAUGCUAAUACCGCAUAAAAACUUUAAACACAAGUUUUAAGUUUGAAAGAUGCAAUUGCAUCACUCAAAGAUGAUCCCGCGUUGUAUUAGCUAGUUGGUGAGGUAAAGGCUCACCAAGGCGAUGAUGCAUAGCCGACCUGAGAGGGUGAUCGGCCACAUUGGGACUGAGACACGGCCCAAACCCCUACGGGAGGCAGCAGUAGGGAAUCUUCGGCAAUGGACGAAAGUCUGACCGAGCAACGCCGCGUGAGUGAAGAAGGUUUUCGGAUCGUAAAACUCUGUUGGUAGAGAAGAACGUUGGUGAGAGUGGAAAGCUCAUCAAGUGACGGUAACUACCCAGAAAGGGACGGCUAACUACGUG